This 497-nucleotide ribosomal RNA is filed under the name uncultured bacterium. RNAcentral describes it as "partial 16S ribosomal RNA". It matches the Rfam family "Bacterial small subunit ribosomal RNA", at positions 28 to 507 of the family's 1533-position model. The record is from RNAcentral.
GAUGAACGCUGGCGGCGUGCCUAAUACAUGCAAGUCGAGCGAACGGACGAGAAGCUUGCUUCUCUGAUGUUAGCGGCGGAAGGGUGAGUAAAACGUGGAUAACCUACCUAUAAGACUGGGAUAACUUCGGGAAACCGGAGCUAAUACCGGAUAAUAUUUUGAACCGCAUGGUUCAAAAGUGAAAGACGGUCUUGCUGUCACUUAUAGAUGGAUCCGCGCUGCAUUAGCUAGUUGGUAAGGUAACGGCUUACCAAGGCAACGAUGCAUAGCCGACCUGAGAGGGUGAUAGGCCAAACUGGACCUGAGACACGGUCCAGACUCCUACGGGAGGCAGCAGUAGGGAAUCUUACGCAAUGGGCGAAAGCCUGACGGAGCAACGCCGCGUGAGUGAUGAAGUUCUUCGGAUCGUAAAACUCUGUUAUUAGGGAAGAACAUAUGUGUAAGUAACUGUGCACAUCUUGACGGUACCUAAUCAGAAAGCCACGGCUAACUACGUG